AGCUGCAGGCAUCUUUCUGAAACUUGCGUAGAAAAAUGUGCAGUCUGGUCACAGUUGAGGACAGGCUGUAAGGGGGAACUCGGGAGGACCGGAAGUUGUCUUGUCCUCCUGCCAAUCAGAACACCGCUAUUGUCUGAAUGCGGAAGUUGGAUAAUGAGCUUCUGAAGCCCCUGCUGCUGCUCCUGUCUCUCUGAAUGAAGAUUGAGCUUUACCCCAAACUGCAACUUUCUUCCUCUGUCCAACAACUAAAGAGCGGGAGCACCAGGGGGAAGUGACGACGACCAGAG
Molecule: non-coding RNA, 287 nt
Organism: Chiloscyllium plagiosum (whitespotted bambooshark)
Lineage: Eukaryota; Metazoa; Chordata; Chondrichthyes; Orectolobiformes; Hemiscylliidae
Source: RefSeq, a predicted model, not a curated record